UACGUAGGGUGCGAGCGUUAAUCGGAAUUACUGGGCGUAAAGCGUGCGCAGGCGGUUCGUUAAGUCAGAUGUGAAAUCCCCGGGCUCAACCUGGGAACUGCAUCCGAAACUGCCUUGCUAGAGUAUGGGAGAGGGAAGUGGAAUUUCCGGUGUAGCGGUGAAAUGCGUAGAUAUCGGAAGGAACAUCAGUGGCGAAGGCGACUUCCUGGACCAAUACUGACGCUCAGGUGCGAAAGCGUGGGGAGCAAACAGG
This 253-nucleotide ribosomal RNA is filed under the name uncultured bacterium. RNAcentral's name for it is "partial 16S ribosomal RNA". It matches the Rfam family "Bacterial small subunit ribosomal RNA", at positions 524 to 776 of the family's 1533-position model. The record is from RNAcentral.